UAUUAGCCCAGGAACUUUCAGAGGCCACCACAGUCAGGGUAACAGCAGUCCAACCAAAGGAGAAUGGCAAGGAAGAUCCAAAGCUGUCACAGGUACAGAAUGUACCCGAUUCAGAAAGUGUCACCACCCAGAUGAAUUCUGCUUCUGCAGAAACCACAACUGAGGAGGAUCCUGACAUAUAUUCCGCUGCUGGUAUGAAGGUAAAGGAACUGGCCCAGAUGUUUUCAGCUAUCACAACCAACAAAACAGCAAUCCAACCAAAGGGGAAACACAAGGGGGAACAAAAACUCUCACAGG
Molecule: non-coding RNA, 297 nt
Organism: Epinephelus lanceolatus (giant grouper)
Lineage: Eukaryota; Metazoa; Chordata; Actinopteri; Perciformes; Serranidae
Source: RefSeq, a predicted model, not a curated record